This 117-nucleotide non-coding RNA is filed under the name Pan paniscus (pygmy chimpanzee). Lineage: Eukaryota; Metazoa; Chordata; Mammalia; Primates; Hominidae. The record is from Rfam by way of RNAcentral. RNAcentral also lists the same sequence under 1 other name.
GCUGGGCACGGUGGCUCAUGCCUGUAAUCCCAGCACUUUGGGAGGCCGAGAUGGGUGGAUCACCUGAGGUCAGGAGUUCGAGACCAGCCUGGUCAACAUGGUGAAAUCCCAUCUCUA